GAAAAAGUUCAUUUAAUAGCCAAGAUCUCAUAACACGCCUCCCUUUCGCACGAUCUGUACCCAAAACCCAGAGGAAAUCGAGAUCUAAAGCGAUUAUCUGCCUCUGAAUCAAUGGUCAUCAGCUCUAGCUCUAUACCAUGCUGGUGCUGGUGUAGUUGUUGGUGUUGUCAACUAUUGGAGUUGCUGGUUUGAAGUGCAUAUCAACUGUUUGAGGGGACACAAAGGAUGUAGAGGUGAAAAGCUUUAUUCUGGCUUGUUUGCUAUGGCCCUUGUUUCGCAUUCCAUUGUAUAGCACUAUCUAAAGUUCUAAACAUGAAGAGAGCUCUAGAACAAAUUAGAAGAACGUGAGAUGCGAAGGUCAGCACAUUUCCUACAAAAGAAGUCUGCACAUCUCCUGUGAAGAAUACCACAUCCCCGCAUAUUCAAAAAAAGAGAACUUGAGAAGAAGGUCACAUCCCUAGAGAAGAAUGAUUUGUCAAAGAGGUCUGGAUGGGCACAAGAACUUAAUUAGGAACUGCUUUUGAUCAUGUUGAAUUGUAUGCAGUAUCAUGUUUCUACUCUCUGGCUAGCUCCUUAAGUAGAUUGCAAGUUUUUGUUUACGCGAAAGUUGUAAUCAAAAGUAUUUUAGGUUCUUUUUUGGUUCUCCUGAUCACCAAGCGAGGUGGAAGUACUGUUGGAUGUGUUUAGGUGAUCUGUGCGAAGCAAAGUUUAUUUGAUAGCUAGCCUUUGGUGUAAUUUUAUGGCUGUGAACUGUGUCGUCGUUACAUGGAGAUGGCGACCACUUAUACAAAGGUUACAAAAAUGCGAGGGUUUAUAAUUGCAUAGAGACAUAAACCGCUUAUACAACUGACUCCUAUUCUCCUAUAGCGACUUUUUCUUGCCCUAACAUGAUCAUCCUUACAAGAUUUAAGAGUAUCCUCUUUCGCUCUUCCAUUGCCUCUUGCAAAAGAUGAAAUAACU
This is a long non-coding RNA of Argentina anserina (silverweed cinquefoil), 960 nucleotides long. RefSeq lists it as uncharacterized. Lineage: Eukaryota; Viridiplantae; Streptophyta; Magnoliopsida; Rosales; Rosaceae. The record is from RefSeq and is a predicted model, not a curated record. The transcript is spliced from 3 exons.